This 395-nucleotide ribosomal RNA is filed under the name uncultured bacterium. Its description in RNAcentral is "bacterial SSU rRNA". It matches the Rfam family "Bacterial small subunit ribosomal RNA", at positions 29 to 429 of the family's 1533-position model. The record is from RNAcentral.
AUUGAACGCUGGCGGCAUGCCUUACACAUGCAAGUCGAACGGUAACGCGGGGCAACCUGGCGACGAGUGGCGAACGGGUGAGUAAUGCAUCGGAACGUGCCCAGUAGUGGGGGAUAGCCCGGCGAAAGCCGGAUUAAUACCGCAUACGACCUACGGGUGAAAGCGGGGGACCGUAAGGCCUCGCGCUAUUGGAGCGGCCGAUGUCAGAUUAGGUAGUUGGUGGGGUAAAGGCCUACCAAGCCUUCGAUCUGUAGCUGGUCUGAGAGGACGACCAGCCACACUGGGACUGAGACACGGCCCAGACUCCUACGGGAGGCAGCAGUGGGGAAUUUUGGACAAUGGGCGCAAGCCUGAUCCAGCCAUGCCGCGUGCGGGAAGAAGGCCUCGGUUGUAAG